CUUUGCAGUCAGACCAAUUUAAGUUCAAAUCGAACAGCACCGUUUAUGAUCCCUGUGGUCUCAGAUUAAAAUUAGAAAUUAGGCGCCUUGGACAUUGAAAACACUGAGUGAGGCUUGACUUGUAGUAUUAUCUUCCACCAGUGGCCAUCGGAAAGAAUCCACAGCAAAUACCAGAGCUGACGACUCAAAGCAACAUCAAUGAACAAUAAGAGCCGGAGAGCACGGAUCGGGUGAGCUGCCUUGGGGCUCAGCCACACUGGUUCCAGCUGAGGGGAGGCCGGCAGGAAAGAGAACUUGUGACUUCCGUGUGUCAUGGAACCUGGGACGGAGAACACGCCAACCAUGAUAGGGGCAGAUGUGCUGAAAACAUCCCUGAGUCAGAGCUGCAUUAAAUUUACAUAGGAACUUCAAUCAAAUUCACAUCUCUACAUUAUUGAAACUUUCCAAGGCAAGAUGUGUGGAGUGGUCCAGAGGCUGUGACAGAAAGCUCACAAACAGCUGAGCGCAUCGUGAACCGGGGUACACAAUUAACUCGCCUUCGUUGCCAAGAACCAAACCCUGUGAUAGCCCUUUCCUCAAGGUUCCAGACCUAGAGAAGAGGCGGAGCCUGAGAACAGCCAGGAGACAGAGGAUAUGAACUAACUCCACGUCCAUCCGAUGGAAUGUCAUCGGCAGAGUUCUAAAGGCAAACAGAUUUGCAAUGACUAAGGCGACUCUUCGCUGAUUGGCUGGCCAGCUGGUGAAGGGUACCCCUAAGCAACUGUGCAAAGGGCUGAGGGAGCAGCCUUGAGAGAGGGGGUGCUGGUUUUAAAUGUGUAUUUGCUGGGAUGUAAGAGAACGAAGGUGAGAGCUGAUAGUAGGCGUUCUUCUCAUUUCUUUAUAAGUGUUAAUGCGUCCAAUCCAUCAUGGCACCACUAUGAUGAAGGGACCAUUAUGGAGUGUAUUUUUGGCAUGAGGAAACUGAGGGAAAAGAGAGGAUAAUCAACUUAUAUAAACUUAAGUGAUGAGGAAGGAGCAGAACUGGAUUUGAACUGAAGGAGCCUGACUUGGAAGUCCAUCUCUGUUUUACUGCCAUCUAACAAUUAAAGUCAGUAACUCUUGGCCUCUGAAAUAAAAAGCCUAGAACUUACCAA
Long non-coding RNA from Hipposideros armiger (great roundleaf bat), 1133 nucleotides. RefSeq lists it as uncharacterized. Lineage: Eukaryota; Metazoa; Chordata; Mammalia; Chiroptera; Hipposideridae. The record is from RefSeq and is a predicted model, not a curated record. The transcript is spliced from 6 exons.